AUCUUUUGUCUCUUUCUGUUCUCAGGACUCCAACUAAGCGUCUAAAGAACUGUCACCCAGAGCAUUGUUCCCAAGGGAGACCAGAGCCUGCACACCCCCACGCACCUCGGGCCAAGAAUCCCGGUCGGGUUACAAGGACAGCCUAUGUGGUCCUUUUGGAAAAACGGGAGCGAGCCCAAGUGAGGAGCCGGCCGAGGUGACUCAAGUUAACUCAAGGCCUUGGAGACCCUGCUACUGAGAACAGGACAGGAAAGGACCUGGCGCAGCGGCUGUGUCCCCACCAUGGGCCAGAACUGC
This 297-nucleotide long non-coding RNA is filed under the name Ictidomys tridecemlineatus (thirteen-lined ground squirrel). RNAcentral describes it as "lncRNA (ENSSTOG00000033888.1)". Lineage: Eukaryota; Metazoa; Chordata; Mammalia; Rodentia; Sciuridae. The record is from RNAcentral.